UCCUGAUCGUAUCGUUAAAUACUGAUCGACGACUGUAACCACCAUUAUACAGAAAUCUUUUAUAGCUAUGGCGUAAACGUGGGUGAUAGCCACUGGGCAUAUUUUCGACUUCGCCAGAACUCGUACAUAGUUUCGAGCAACAUACGAUCGUUUCGUUUCCUCAUACCAUAAAUACAAACCAUAACAUAUCUAACAAACAACGUAGUAUAAUGUACAUAACACCAUUAAAAUAAACUUCGUACUUGUUUAUUCACGCGCGCGCGUUAACUAAAGAACAUUAGUUUGUGCGCAGUUUUGUGCGCAGUUUUAUUUCGUGCGCAUGCUCAUGCGCACGCGCUUUUAAUAUAUUUUCUUUUACAUGAAUACAUCGAAUCGGAAGAUGGAAGUAUUCUUUGCAAAAUUUAUGCUGAACCAUAUUUUUUACCAACGAUGAGAUAAACACAUGGAUUUAUACAUAUAUAUAUUUUUCGCAUGUGCGUACACGUGACAAUUUGCUUACUUGAAAAUACUCCUAUACUUUGAAUGAUUAAAGCCUAGUUUUUAUGGUUUACGAGCCUCAUAACCUGUUUUUUAUGCGAUAUUAGCAUAACAAUGAAGUAAUAAACUAAAUCAACCUGUGAUAAUUGCUAUAUAGAGCAAGUAAUAUUAUGGAAGAUUCAUAAAUAUGCACAACAGUGGUUCCCAUGAUUAUUCUUAAUAUACGAUGAUAAUGAUUAUGGCAGUGAAACGCUAAAGUUCAUUGUACAAUGUUACAACAAAAAAAAAAAGAAAGAACGAGCAAGAGCAAAAAAAAAAUUAUCUUCAGCUUGAGAAAUAUAUAGAUCGAAACUGUACAAAAUAAUAAUACCAUCGAUCAAGCGGUACGGAACGAUCACGCGAAAGUAAGAAAUAUCUUCCACCGUACAAUUUUCCCCAUCGACGAAUGAUGCAGGUUCGUUGAUCUGAAUUCGAAUGAAGAUGUGAUUCAUGUAUUUCAAUCAUUCGAUGCAACAUUCUCUAUAUAGAUAAAACCUGUUCGUUUGAAAAUAUAUGCGUUUCUAGAGACUUUGAGGAAUGCAAGUCUCAUGUUAAAAACACGAAGGAUCGAAUACAUUCAAUGUAUUUUUAUUCAAACGAUAUUCUUGUCAUUUGAUAAAGAUAGACAAAUGUUUUUAUCAACUUAUUCGAUUUUCUAUGAUCAUCUUAUACAUUAUCUUUGUUAUUCUUAUUUAAACGAUUCUCAUUUUAAAUUUCAUUAAAAUAAUCAAUCAAUCAAUUCUUCGAAUGUGACCGAGAACAUGAUUUACAUAGAUACAUUCAAAGCCACAUUCUUGCGCUUGAAAUUCCACAAAGUAAUCAUACCUAGAUUCUCCCGUUCUCCGAAUCCUCCGCCUCCGGCUUCACACAGGUGCACCUGCAACAACACAAAUAAGCCUUUAGAUUAUAGUAUUCUACCUGUGCGAGCGGCUUGAUUCCGCACCAAAUACCAGGAAUCGAACGUACGCGAAUACUUGUAUAUGUGUGGAUGCAAAAGAAUGAUAUAAAAAAUUUGAAAAGAACAAUAAUCGUACUCGCGUUCAAAUAAGAUGGAUGCGGUAAGAUUGUGCAAAAGCACGUUGCUUUCCGCAACAUUGAAUUUUGCCGCAAUAUCCCCAACAAAGAGGACGAUAAUUUUUCGCGCUACGAUCUUCUGAUUGCGAGUACGAAAAAAUAUCCUGCAAAAUAUCAUUAGAAAUAAUAGGAGAAACGGCGUACACAAAUUCUCUUGAUAAGUAUAUAAAGUUUCGAUAUGCGAAAAGAAAAAUGAAUUGGCGAACGAUAUCGACAUCGAAGAAGAACGCACUGUGUAUUUGCGUGUAUGUACGUGCAUGUGUUCGCGCUUGUUCUCUCCCACUAUCCACAAUCUGAAAGGAGCGCGAACUCUCAAUAAAACCGCUCUACUUCGACAAAUCGCCUUAAUUUCAUCGUCAAUAAGCCCGAGAAACCCGCGCCAAGUAUGCCGAUCACCGUCUCUAUACACCGUGACUCUGUUACGCGACCGCUGUGCAUGCGCUUGUAUGCGCGUAUAUACGACUUACAUAGACGGUGGGGGCACACACGCGCAGUAUGGCAUGCCGUUGGUGCAAGCCGCGUGAGCGAGUUUAACGAAUCUGAAGCAGAGAGAGAAAGAGAAAGAGAGAAAGAGAGGGAGGGAGAGAGAGAGAGAAGAGAGUGAGGCGGGCGUCUCGGUCGAGUAUUCCAGGUUAAUUUUACCGAGCCCUAAGGAGCGCAUGCGAAGGACCGGCGAAGGAUAACGCUAGCGGGGCUCAUCGGUUGGACGCUGCUCGAAGCGAACGAAGGACGCCCGCAUUCCACGCCGCAACCUGGUAUAAUACGAGGAAUUGGCCGAACAGAGCGAGAGAGGGACAGAGAGGCUAAGAACGGGCUUUUUCUGCAUCGGAGAAAGAAGACGAACGGAUCACAAGCGAGACAAAGAGGAAGAGGAAGACGAAGAAAGAUGAAAGAGGGAGACGUAUACAUAGAAAAAGAGAAGGAAUCACAGUGAAGCAACCAAGGAGAGGCGAGGAGUUGUGUCUGCAUCAUUCCUCUCUCUCUCUCUCUCUCUUUUCUCUUUCAUCCGCUUUCCCCUCGUAAUCAUUCCUCCACCAUUCCAUUCCUUUAUCUCCUUAUUCGUUUCAUUCUAGUCUCUCUAUACACGAUAUACUUCUACAUACUCUUCUUCAUGUUCGUUAGUCUCUUCUUUAUCUCUUACUCUUUAUUACUCGUCUUUUUAUCCAUCCCUAUCUCUUCCUCUCGUUCCUUCUCCACUUUCAUCUUUUUCUUCGUCCCAUCCUCGUCUUCCCUUCUUUCUUUGUCCUCGUUCCUCUUUCCUCGCCCCACUGUUUGCGUAUGCGUGCGUGUACGUGUAUGGACUCGGUUGAACCGCGUGCCUCCAGCGGAAGUAAAUCACCACAGCGUGCACACGCUGGUAUCUCUCCACAAGAGCGUUCUAUACAGUUUCAGCCGGCGUUCCUUCCUUCGUACGAGAGCGCGUAACUGGGAUUCCUCGUUUUGCGAGCAGGCAGCUGCAACUGGGUAGCCGCACUGGAGUAGGUUAUCGCCGUCGUGAGUCGUGGCUUUCACCACUUUGCCGGCCACGUCGCGUUCUCUCGCGCGCCGACAGUCACGAUGACAAGAGAAACGGAAGGUUACACGGGGCCCUCCACCGUUUCUUUUCCCCCUGAUUGCCCGUGAUUUCGGAUUAGAUAAGCGGUGUGGAAUUUCGAUGCCUGCCGGGGCUUUAACACAACUCGCUUGCCUCGACCCGUAGAAUUGUUAUACCAAUAUUUUCAACUCUCGUAAAGCUUUCGUAAAAUUUACAUAAAAAUAUUUUACAAAAUAUUUUUCUUCCAUAUAUGAAUAAUUAUGGAUAAUUAUUUCGUAGAUCUAUCUGACGCUUGAAUUAAAUCUGCGGAAAAAUAUAGAUUGUUGUUAAAAAUACGAUUGAGAAUGCGAAAGAAUUUAAUGAUGUGAAACAGAUAUUUAUAAAUAAAUUGGCCUCGAUUUUCUUUUUGCUUUA
This 3538-nucleotide long non-coding RNA is filed under the name Apis mellifera (honey bee). RNAcentral's name for it is "uncharacterized LOC107964603, transcript variant X3". Lineage: Eukaryota; Metazoa; Arthropoda; Insecta; Hymenoptera; Apidae. The record is from RNAcentral.